GACGAACGCUGGCGGCGUGCUUAACACAUGCAAGUCGAACGCUGAAGCUCAGCUUUUGUUGGGUGGACGAGUGGCGAACGGGUGAGUAACACGUGAGUAACCUGCCCCCUUCUUUGGGAUAACGCCCGGAAACGGGUGCUAAUACCGGAUAUUCACUGGUCUUCGCAUGGGGGUUGGUGGAAAGGGCUGUUCUGGUGGGGGAUGGGCUCGCGUCCUAUCAGCUUGUUGGUGGGGUGGUGGCCCACCACGGCUUUGACGGGUGGCCGGCCUGAGAGGGUGACCGGUCAGGUUGGGAGUGAGAUACGGCCCAGACUACUGCGGGGGGCAGCAGUGGAGAAUAUUGCGCGAUAUGCUGAAGCCUGGUGGGGCGACGGCGCGAGAGGGGUCGCGUCCUUGGUGUUGGGAAUCUCUUUCGAUCAUGGUCAAGCCGGAACAAUGGUUUUGGUGAGGGUAGUGGGUAAAGAAGCACCGGCUAACUACGUG
Molecule: ribosomal RNA, 483 nt
Filed under: uncultured bacterium
Lineage: Bacteria
Description: partial 16S ribosomal RNA
Rfam family: Bacterial small subunit ribosomal RNA
Source: RNAcentral